UACCCUGCGGUGUGCGCAAUUACGGAUUUAUUUUAACCAACACAUCUACUACGGGAGAUUGCAUAGAGCUGUGGCGUGUAAGCCCUUACCUACGGGUCAGAGGGAAACCCAGGAGCAGCUCCGAGAUCACCCACCUGCUCACGCAGGUUUAGAAUAUUCCGAAAUAAACGGCACUGCGGGGUU
This 183-nucleotide non-coding RNA is filed under the name human gut metagenome. Its description in RNAcentral is "6S / SsrS RNA". It matches the Rfam family "6S / SsrS RNA". Rfam says of the family: E. coli 6S RNA was the first non coding RNA to be sequenced, but its function was unknown until recently. It consists of 184 nucleotides that fold into an extended hairpin structure with a large single-stranded internal bulge. The record is from RNAcentral.